This 1517-nucleotide long non-coding RNA is filed under the name Homo sapiens (human). Its description in RNAcentral is "HSALNT0078999". The record is from RNAcentral. Lineage: Eukaryota; Metazoa; Chordata; Mammalia; Primates; Hominidae.
GUUUGUUAGCUAUCUAGAAGUUGUCCAGGGCUCCCUGAGGGAGGCCAGCACAAGAGCUCUGCCAUAAAAGGACAUUGGACAGAAGUGAAGAGUCCAAUCAGAAACUCUUUUUGAGAGACUGAACGCAAAGCAUUCAGAGAGUCAGCAGGCUGGAGAGGCCAAGACACACACACGAAGAAGGCAGGACACUCUUCUCCUCCUGCGGUUGGACUCCAGGCUCUAUGACCUUCAAACUCCAGGACUUACACCAGUUGCCCCUGGGCACUCAGGACUUCUGCUUCAGACUGACAGUUGCAGGACAGUGCAGCAUUUUAUUUUAAAGAUACCCCACAACGUAGGUGGCCAGUCCUGCUGCAGACUGUGUCUGUAUCUGGGAUCAGUUGCGAAGCAGAAGUAUGACGUGACUAAGGCCACCGCUGGGUUAGGAUACCCCCAUCCAAGAUUGAGAGCUGUACUAGCCUGGCAUGCAGACAGCAGCUUUAGAAUCAGAUCUGCCUUCUGGCGGCUUCCCACCUAGGAGCCAUGGGACCUUUGUGAAGUCACCAAUUGUGCUGUGGAUGCUUCAUUUGUGAAGGAGAACAGGACUGCCUUGUGAAAUUACGGAUGGUGCUACUAAAACAUAUCAAUAAUUUGAAUUUCACUUUUGUGGAUGCUUUAAACAUCAUAGUCAUUAGAAGGUGGAUCUGGCUGAUUGUACUUUAAGUUUUCAGUUUGAGCUGGAGCUUUGUAUUAUAACAGGAGGGUACUGGACAAGAUGAGGAAACUGAGGUACAGAUGGGAAACUUGCUCAAGUUCACACAGCAAUUAAGUGAUCAAGUCCAAGAGCAAAACCAGGCAGGCUGGCUCCAGAGCUCACGAUAGUCCACCACUGCUUUCCACCAUCACUACGGAAUCAAGUCCAUGAGGAUACUCACCUUAUGUCAGUUGCCUAAGUUGGAAAUUAUAGAAUCUUCAAAUUGGAAGGGACGUUAUCAUCCAAGAUUUCAACUUUCUACUCACUGCAAAAUCCCUUCUGGAACUUCCCAGAUUGAUGAAUUUUCAUCAGCUCUGCUUGAGUACUCCCAGUGACUUGGAAAAAAAACACUGUAAUAUGGAUAUGAAAUAUAAACUGUUCAUGGAUAAAUUAUUGCAUAAUAAAAACAUGCCUAAUGGCUACACUCCCCUAAUAUGUUCAUUUGACUUCCCAGGAUUUAGCAACCAGGGCCUGGAAGGCAGACAAAGGUAACUGGCCCCAUGUGAUAAAAACAGGCCCGGGAGCAUCUUCAUUAAGGCAGGCAGUUUUGGGCCACCCGAUCAUGACCAUGGAUCUACGUGCUGGAACUUGAAAGUAUGUCCACGCUCAAGAUUUCUGUCUCUUCUAAAGCAAGAAAGGACUGGUUUUGCAUGCCCUGCCUAUGCACAUCUUUAUGAAAAUGUAACCUUUUCACUCACUUUCUGAACUCCACAAAAGAGUCAGCUUUCUCCUGUUGGUGAUGAAACCAGCUGUUGAAAUACUUCAAUUGGGUUGCAGUUGCUUC